CAGCAGUGAGGAAUUUUGGUCAAUGGGCGCAAGCCUGACUUAGCGACGCCGCGUCAGGAUGACGGCCCUUCGGGUUGUAAACUGCUUUUGUACGCCAAGAAACCCGCAGUGGGGGAAUGCUUGAGUAGUCCGUACCGUAGAAUAGAAUCCCCGGCUAACUACGUG
RNAcentral lists this ribosomal RNA (165 nucleotides) under uncultured bacterium. Its description in RNAcentral is "partial 16S ribosomal RNA". It matches the Rfam family "Bacterial small subunit ribosomal RNA", at positions 349 to 507 of the family's 1533-position model. The record is from RNAcentral.